ACAUUUUUGCUCACCACCAUUUAAUGUGGUGUAUGUUCACCACCUUAUUUAUCACCGUUAGAUGAAUUUUAAUUUUGAGAUUUGUUCAUGUCCACUACACGAAUCUCGAAAUUGAAACUCAUCUAAUGGUGAUAAAUAUGAUGGUAAGCAUACACCACACUAAAUAGUGGUGAGCAAAAUUGC
Molecule: microRNA precursor, 183 nt
Filed under: Malus domestica (apple)
Lineage: Eukaryota; Viridiplantae; Streptophyta; Magnoliopsida; Rosales; Rosaceae
Source: RNAcentral